GUGAGGAAUAUUGCGCAAUGGAGGCAACUCUGACGCAGCCAUGCCGCGUGCAGGAAGAAGGCGCUACGCGUUGUAAACUGCUUUUAACCGGGAAGAAACCCCAGGACGUGUCCUGGGUUGACGGUACCGGAGGAAUAAGCACCGGCUAACUUCGUGCCAGCAGCCGCCGUAAUACGAAGGGUGCAAGCGUUAUCCGGAUUCAUUGGGUUUAAAGGGUGCGUAGGCGGAGCGUUAAGUCAGUGGUGAAAUCCUGCAGCUUAACUGUAGACUUGCCAUUGAUACUGGCGCUCUUGAGUGCGCUUGAAGUUCGCGGAAUGUGCCGUGUAGCGGUGAAAUGCUUAGGUAUGGCACAGAACACCAAUUGCGAUGGCAGCUCACUAAGGCGAUACUGACGCUGAGGCACGAAAGCGUGGGGAUCGAACAGGAUUAGAAACCCGUGUAGUCC
RNAcentral lists this ribosomal RNA (445 nucleotides) under uncultured bacterium. Its description in RNAcentral is "partial 16S ribosomal RNA". It matches the Rfam family "Bacterial small subunit ribosomal RNA", at positions 354 to 796 of the family's 1533-position model. The record is from RNAcentral.